GGGGCCGAAAAGUCGUGGUAUACUUCUAGGAUGUAUGAUGCAGCGCCAUCUGCCGGUGCUCGUCUUCCUCUACGUGCUACGUAGCAGCACCCUCUGACGGUGGGACACGCCUGCGAUGAGUAGGCUAUCGCCGUCUUGUAGCCCUGGUCAGCAGCUGUUGCUCUGAUCAGGAAAAUAGACAUACAGAAAAACGUGGAGCUCAUCCUAAAGAAGCUGGGGCAACUGGUGCAUUAUGUCGGGCCUUAAAACGGCCAACCGCAUACUCGCGCGGUGCAGGCAACUCAGUUGCUUGACAUGGCAACUCCGUCACCAUCCAUCUUGGGCCGGUGAGAGGAGGAGAGAAACUCACCCCGGGAGCUUCGUGAGUGUUAUGACCAUGGCAGAUUGCUUUAAAAUCCUGAUUGACGACCUUCUUGGGUUUGGACACGGUCUGCUCGGGCCAGGAGUCCAGAGUAAAGCUCAGUAGGCAUCGCGCCCAUAGGGCAUAAAAUUAUGUGGGUUGAGCUAAAUGUUCGAUUUAGCUGGGAAUAUUCGACGGAAGAUAAAAAACGAGGAAUAUUAUACAUUUUCGGUAUUUUUUAGAGUGAGAGCGUAUAUUUUAUUGGGACUUGCUCUCUUUUUUUGGGACUUACUCUCUAUUUUGUGGUGGGAAAUUUUCUCAAAUUGAGGGAAUUUUUCGGGGAUACAAUGUCCUUUUCAGCUCAACAAUGUCCCUUGCAUUCCAUCCCCACUUACGUUUUCAUACGUUUUAUGUUGCUGGCAACAUUAAUUUGUAAGGGCCAGACUCAUGUGCCGUGAAAUCGAGCAGCAUUGUUCCACAACAUUGCGCGGAUUGAGCAACAUUUUGCAUACCCUGGGAAAUGGAUGUUCAAGAACCGAAAAAAUGUUUGUCAUCUAAUGCACCAAUAAAGGCCAAAACUAGUCAGUUUCUGUUUUAAAGGUA
This is a long non-coding RNA of Drosophila miranda, 943 nucleotides long. RefSeq lists it as uncharacterized. The record is from RefSeq and is a predicted model, not a curated record. The transcript has 2 exons. NCBI's taxonomy places the organism in Eukaryota, Metazoa, Arthropoda, Insecta, Diptera, Drosophilidae.